AUGAGUCUCUUCGGCCUCGGACGGAAUCAGAAGACGUUCCGUCCCAAGAAAAGUGCUCCAUCAGGCAGCAAGGGGGCACAGCUCCGAAAGCACAUAGAUGCAACGCUCGGCAGUGGAAACCUUAGGGAAGCUGUGAGGCUGCCUCCUGGAGAGGAUAUCAAUGAAUGGCUUGCUGUUAAUACUGUGGAUUUCUUUAAUCAAGUUAACCUGCUGUAUGGCACACUCACAGAGUUCUGCACUUCCGAGAGCUGCCCAACAAUGACUGCAGGCCCAAAGUAUGAGUACCGAUGGGCUGACGGUGUACAGAUAAAGAAGCCUAUAGAAGUGUCAGCACCAAAAUACGUGGAGUACCUAAUGGACUGGAUUGAAGGCCAGCUUGACAAUGAAUCCUUAUUUCCUCAGAAGCUUGGCACACCAUUUCCACCCAACUUCAAGGAUGUUGUAAACACAAUUUUCAAGCGCUUGUUUCGUGUUUAUGCCCACAUAUACCAUUCCCAUUUUCAGAAGAUUGUCAGCCUCAAGGAGGAGGCUCAUCUUAACACCUGCUUCAAGCACUUCAUUCUGUUUACAAACGAAUUUGGGCUGAUUGACAAGAAAGAACUGGCUCCCCUCCAGGAGCUCAUCGAAUCAAUCAUCGUUCCCUACUGA
This 648-nucleotide ribosomal RNA is filed under the name Triticum aestivum (bread wheat). RNAcentral's name for it is "partial small subunit ribosomal RNA". The record is from RNAcentral. Lineage: Eukaryota; Viridiplantae; Streptophyta; Magnoliopsida; Poales; Poaceae.